AGGGAAAAUAGCAAUCAAAGCAAAUAAAGCAUUGCAGGUGUUAUAUAAAAAGAAUAAAACUUGUCUGCUGGAAGUAAAAGGGGACUAAGAGUAUGGAGAUAUGCUAAGAUCCGCACGCAGGCGUUUUCGUGUAGGCUAUAGAAGACUCAAAGGUUCCUUUGAUGCAUUCGGGUGUAUGGGGGAAUGGGCAGCCUAUUGAAGCAUGGCAGACCACCUGAGAGUUGUUUUCUGGACUCUGGGAGGUCACCUGACACCAGUUCUCUGGAGAAGGUGCCCCGCACUGGAUUUCACAUGAAAAGAUCUUACAGCUUUGGAAUGACAUGAGAGUGCAAACCAUUUUAGCCAUCUUAUGAGUGAGGAGACGAAUCAUUUCUGUUCUGAAUGGAUGAUUCGGAGCCAGGGGUGAAUCAUACAGGGGUUUGUUUGUAUCUGUGCCUCUGAUCCCCCUCUGAUAGUCCCUACACCACGCAACAUCUGUCACGCCGCGUGCCACAAUCGCUCAUGUAGAGCUUUAGGUGAUGCUGGUGUAUGGUUAUUCCUGCCACAUGGUCCACAUGGGCAUCCCCAACGCCAGCACUCAUUAGCAGGCAGGUGGCGUUAGAGAUUCGACUGGGGCCGAGACGAGGAAUAGAACCUGGCAAACCGGGUUGUACGUCCGCACCGGGUAAUCCCCGCCAGAUUGCCAGGAUAUCAGGAGUGACAUCACAAAGCCAACAAAAAUUAGCAUCCCUAAUGGUCUGCCAGGCCAAACAUUAUUCUUCAUGAUGAGAAGCAGUCAUGCCUGCCCAGGGCUCCUGAUGAUUUGGCCAAAAGCAGUGGAGGCCCCUAAGCUCUCAGCUCUGGCCAAAACCAACAGGCCCAUGAAGACCAGCUCUACUCUACUGCAAAGGAAGUUCCUGAGGAAAAUGCUUGGUAUAUUCCCAUCAUAUUGCUGAUGCCUUCAGAUUCUAGAAGAUCCUUUGAAAUUACUUACCUGAAUGGAAAAGAAGAGACUCUUACUUGGUGCUUGAUAACCAGUGAAAAACACCUUAACUAGAUUUAGAAGCUAAAACCAAAAAAGAUCAAUGAGAGGAGAGGGGGAGAGUGGCAGAUUUAAUUAAUUACUGCAUAUUAGAAUGUUUGUUUACAAAAGUGAACAGUUACAAGGGGCCUGAUGGUAAUUAAUUUAAAACGUACUUCCCCCUGUCCCUGCCUCGCGUCGGCACUAGACGUGGUUGUUUCAUGGCAGGUAAGCCUACGUCUCAUUGGAUUUCGAUCAAUUGCUCAAAGGUGUGUUUCAAAACAAAGAUGCAUGGUGCACAGAUUAGCCUUAAUGUUAACAUGAUUGCAUGUUAAGAAAUUGAAUUAGUACUCAAGGGAAUCAAAAGGGAAGAGCUGUGUGAUAUUGUAAAAAUGCAUAUCUAAGAGGAAAUUUUCACCAUUUUCCACCUAAACCGUAUUAGAUUUUUCUUCCUCUAGUGUAUUUAAAUGUAACUUGACAUCUUAAACAGAUCUGUAAAUAGUCCCUGUGAAGAUGACUUUAUUUUCCCAACAAUGUCACAGUGGUUGCAUUUCUGUGUGUUUUCAGCUGUGGUCAGGAAGGUCUCUCGAGGUCCCCCUCCAGGACAAUGAUGUAUUUAAGUCCCCUAAGAGGUCAGAUGGACUCUGUCCAGAACAUCACCUGCAAUCAAUAGUGUUGGUAAACCAGGCUCAACUGAGUGGCCAUGAAGACUCCCCUUAUAAACACGCUCACAGAGAGGCCGGCAUGGCCCAUUGCUUUGCUAAAACCGCAACCAACAUCCUGACACACACAUACACACACACGCAACACAUGCCACCACUCU
Cyprinus carpio (common carp) is the source of this 1823-nucleotide long non-coding RNA. RefSeq lists it as uncharacterized. The record is from RefSeq and is a predicted model, not a curated record. NCBI's taxonomy places the organism in Eukaryota, Metazoa, Chordata, Actinopteri, Cypriniformes, Cyprinidae. The transcript is spliced from 4 exons.